GAUGGGCCUUGGCCAGGGGUUG
This 22-nucleotide microRNA is filed under the name Panagrellus redivivus. RNAcentral's name for it is "prd-miR-7911a-3p". The record is from miRBase by way of RNAcentral. Lineage: Eukaryota; Metazoa; Nematoda; Chromadorea; Rhabditida; Panagrolaimidae.